GUCAAGGGGGCGGAGCUCGCCCGCCGCGGCCUGGGCUCAUGGCCAAUGGUGGCUGACUGAAGAGCCCCGCCCAGUCAGCUGCUCGGUUCCGCCAGGCCAGUGGGCGGGGCGAACCGAGGGCGGGGCUCGGGGUGGGCGUGACCAGCUCCCCGGCCCCCGGGAGCCGCCGCGGGCGGGCUGCUGAGGUGGCUGUCGCCGGCUCCGAGCUACGGCUUCCCGGGUCGAGCCCCCGAUGGAGGCCGAGGCCAUGGACGUGCCCCCAGGCGGGGUCGAGGCGGCGCUCAGCUGCUUCUCUUUCAACCAAGACUGCACAUCCCUAGCAAUUGGAACCAAAGCUGGCUACAAGCUGUUUUCUUUGAGUUCUGUGGAGCAACUGGACCAAGUCCAUGGAAGCAAUGAAAUCCCUGACGUGUACAUUGUGGAGCGCCUCUUCUCCAGCAGCCUGGUGGUGGUGGUCAGUCACACGAAACCCCGGCAGAUGAAUGUGUAUCACUUCAAGAAGGGCACAGAGAUCUGUAAUUACAGCUACUCCAGCAACAUCUUGUCCAUAAGACUGAACCGGCAGAUAGUGGCAUUCAUUGCAGAUGGUAGCCAAGCCUCUGAAGACGAGAUGUCUGCGUGAAGCAUGGUCCCUCCUGGGUUAGUGCUGCAGCCAGUCAAUGUGACCACCCUCCUCAGCCAUCUGCAUGGGCUUUCCUGGUGGGGCCAGUUUUGUUCCCAUUUUCCCUUCUCCAACUGACCCUUAAAGAUGUUUUCUUUUAGCGUUUUCUUUGUUGAAGGUCGGAUCAUUCUUAUCUCAAAUAUGUACUGUAUCCCCUUUAAAAUAUCAAUUCUUGUUAAUUGGGAUAUUAAUAAAUUUUCCUUGGAAUUACUGACUUUAUAUCCUAUGAGGGGCCCAUGGUAUUUUAAUUCACUGCUGGAAGACUUGCAAGAAAAGGGUUCCUAAGUACCUGUUUCCUGAAUGGCUAUUAAAUAAAUAAAUAAAGAGACCCUUUGUGUAAG
RNAcentral lists this long non-coding RNA (1002 nucleotides) under Ictidomys tridecemlineatus (thirteen-lined ground squirrel). RNAcentral's name for it is "lncRNA (ENSSTOG00000031077.1)". Lineage: Eukaryota; Metazoa; Chordata; Mammalia; Rodentia; Sciuridae. The record is from RNAcentral.